GGAGAAUUAUUUAUUGACCAGGGUAACAUAUUAUUUUCUUUUUAUAUAGGGAUUUCUCAACAGUGAUCCUUUGUUUCAUAAAGAGAAGAGAAUGGAGCAGUUCAGACAUAGUAUUCCUAGAUACUAUCUCUGUAACCUUUGAGGCCACUUCCUCAUUUGAAAUAUGAAGACGGCUGAAACAACGAAACGAGCUACUGUGAAAUAAGUCAAUUACAAUCAAAUAUGAAGAGUCAACUAUUAGAAACGUUUUUAAAAUCCUAGCUUACUAAAACAAACUGCAACAAAGAAAGAGGAAAAUAAAGAAAGAAGGAAAGAAGAAGAAACGAAGAAAGGAAGGAAGACAUAAAGCCUGAUUCAAAGUGAUUUUAUAAAAAGCAACCAGUUUUUAUUAAUGUAAAUAUUAAUUUGUGAAAAUUACAUUAAUGAAGACCCCUUCACCGUAUAUUUUUAAAUGAAAAUCUUCUAAACACUUAUUUGCAUUUUUCUUCCUCUAUGUAAUGCAACGUAAAUUAAAACAGAUGGUUUCAGAAAUGCA
This is a long non-coding RNA of Chlorocebus sabaeus (green monkey), 535 nucleotides long. RefSeq lists it as uncharacterized. The record is from RefSeq and is a predicted model, not a curated record. NCBI's taxonomy places the organism in Eukaryota, Metazoa, Chordata, Mammalia, Primates, Cercopithecidae.